RNAcentral lists this ribosomal RNA (2789 nucleotides) under Escherichia coli. RNAcentral describes it as "bacterial LSU rRNA". It matches the Rfam family "Bacterial large subunit ribosomal RNA". The record is from RNAcentral. Lineage: Bacteria; Pseudomonadati; Pseudomonadota; Gammaproteobacteria; Enterobacterales; Enterobacteriaceae.
AGCGUACACGGUGGAUGCCCUGGCAGUCAGAGGCGAUGAAGGACGUGCUAAUCUGCGAUAAGCGUCGGUAAGGUGAUAUGAACCGUUAUAACCGGCGAUUUCCGAAUGGGGAAACCCAGUGUGAUUCGUCACACUAUCAUUAACUGAAUCCAUAGGUUAAUGAGGCGAACCGGGGGAACUGAAACAUCUAAGUACCCCGAGGAAAAGAAAUCAACCGAGAUUCCCCCAGUAGCGGCGAGCGAACGGGGAGGAGCCCAGAGCCUGAAUCAGUGUGUGUGUUAGUGGAAGCGUCUGGAAAGGCGCGCGAUACAGGGUGACAGCCCCGUACACAAAAAUACACAUGCUGUGAGCUCGAUGAGUAGGGCGGGACACGUGGUAUCCUGUCUGAAUAUGGGGGGACCAUCCUCCAAGGCUAAAUACUCCUGACUGACCGAUAGUGAACCAGUACCGUGAGGGAAAGGCGAAAAGAACCCCGGCGAGGGGAGUGAAAAAGAACCUGAAACCGUGUACGUACAAGCAGUGGGAGCACAGAGCAAUCUGUGUGACUGCGUACCUUUUGUAUAAUGGGUCAGCGACUUAUAUUCUGUAGCAAGGUUAACCGAAUAGGGGAGCCGAAGGGAAACCGAGUCUUAACUGGGCGUUAAGUUGCAGGGUAUAGACCCGAAACCCGGUGAUCUAGCCAUGGGCAGGUUGAAGGUUGGGUAACACUAACUGGAGGACCGAACCGACUAAUGUUGAAAAAUUAGCGGAUGACUUGUGGCUGGGGGUGAAAGGCCAAUCAAACCGGGAGAUAGCUGGUUCUCCCCGAAAGCUAUUUAGGUAGCGCCUCGUGAAUUCAUCUCCGGGGGUAGAGCACUGUUUCGGCAAGGGGGUCAUCCCGACUUACCAACCCGAUGCAAACUGCGAAUACCGGAGAAUGUUAUCACGGGAGACACACGGCGGGUGCUAACGUCCGUCGUGAAGAGGGAAACAACCCAGACCGCCAGCUAAGGUCCCAAAGUCAUGGUUAAGUGGGAAACGAUGUGGGAAGGCCCAGACAGCCAGGAUGUUGGCUUAGAAGCAGCCAUCAUUUAAAGAAAGCGUAAUAGCUCACUGGUCGAGUCGGCCUGCGCGGAAGAUGUAACGGGGCUAAACCAUGCACCGAAGCUGCGGCAGCGACGCUUAUGCGUUGUUGGGUAGGGGAGCGUUCUGUAAGCCUGCGAAGGUGUGCUGUGAGGCAUGCUGGAGGUAUCAGAAGUGCGAAUGCUGACAUAAGUAACGAUAAAGCGGGUGAAAAGCCCGCUCGCCGGAAGACCAAGGGUUCCUGUCCAACGUUAAUCGGGGCAGGGUGAGUCGACCCCUAAGGCGAGGCCGAAAGGCGUAGUCGAUGGGAAACAGGUUAAUAUUCCUGUACUUGGUGUUACUGCGAAGGGGGGACGGAGAAGGCUAUGUUGGCCGGGCGACGGUUGUCCCGGUUUAAGCGUGUAGGCUGGUUUUCCAGGCAAAUCCGGAAAAUCAAGGCUGAGGCGUGAUGACGAGGCACUACGGUGCUGAAGCAACAAAUGCCCUGCUUCCAGGAAAAGCCUCUAAGCAUCAGGUAACAUCAAAUCGUACCCCAAACCGACACAGGUGGUCAGGUAGAGAAUACCAAGGCGCUUGAGAGAACUCGGGUGAAGGAACUAGGCAAAAUGGUGCCGUAACUUCGGGAGAAGGCACGCUGAUAUGUAGGUGAAGCGACUUGCUCGUGGAGCUGAAAUCAGUCGAAGAUACCAGCUGGCUGCAACUGUUUAUUAAAAACACAGCACUGUGCAAACACGAAAGUGGACGUAUACGGUGUGACGCCUGCCCGGUGCCGGAAGGUUAAUUGAUGGGGUCAGCGCAAGCGAAGCUCUUGAUCGAAGCCCCGGUAAACGGCGGCCGUAACUAUAACGGUCCUAAGGUAGCGAAAUUCCUUGUCGGGUAAGUUCCGACCUGCACGAAUGGCGUAAUGAUGGCCAGGCUGUCUCCACCCGAGACUCAGUGAAAUUGAACUCGCUGUGAAGAUGCAGUGUACCCGCGGCAAGACGGAAAGACCCCGUGAACCUUUACUAUAGCUUGACACUGAACAUUGAGCCUUGAUGUGUAGGAUAGGUGGGAGGCUUUGAAGUGUGGACGCCAGUCUGCAUGGAGCCGACCUUGAAAUACCACCCUUUAAUGUUUGAUGUUCUAACGUGGACCCGUAAUCCGGGUUGCGGACAGUGUCUGGUGGGUAGUUUGACUGGGGCGGUCUCCUCCUAAAGAGUAACGGAGGAGCACGAAGGUUGGCUAAUCCUGGUCGGACAUCAGGAGGUUAGUGCAAUGGCAUAAGCCAGCUUGACUGCGAGCGUGACGGCGCGAGCAGGUGCGAAAGCAGGUCAUAGUGAUCCGGUGGUUCUGAAUGGAAGGGCCAUCGCUCAACGGAUAAAAGGUACUCCGGGGAUAACAGGCUGAUACCGCCCAAGAGUUCAUAUCGACGGCGGUGUUUGGCACCUCGAUGUCGGCUCAUCACAUCCUGGGGCUGAAGUAGGUCCCAAGGGUAUGGCUGUUCGCCAUUUAAAGUGGUACGCGAGCUGGGUUUAGAACGUCGUGAGACAGUUCGGUCCCUAUCUGCCGUGGGCGCUGGAGAACUGAGGGGGGCUGCUCCUAGUACGAGAGGACCGGAGUGGACGCAUCACUGGUGUUCGGGUUGUCAUGCCAAUGGCACUGCCCGGUAGCUAAAUGCGGAAGAGAUAAGUGCUGAAAGCAUCUAAGCACGAAACUUGCCCCGAGAUGAGUUCUCCCUGACUCCUUGA